AGAAUCCGAACACGUGUCCAAAUGUGCGCUGGGGGAAGGGAUAACACGUGAAAGUGGAGCGGAUGACGGGAGCUUGCUCCUUGAUUCAGCGGCGGACGGGUGAGUAAUGCCUAGGAAUCUGCCUGGUAGUGGGGGACAACGUUUCGAAAGGAACGCUAAUACCGCAUACGUCCUACGGGAGAAAGCAGGGGACCUUCGGGCCUUGCGCUAUCAGAUGAGCCUAGGUCGGAUUAGCUUGUUGGUGAGGUAAUGGCUCACCAAGGCGACGAUCCGUAACUGGUCUGAGAGGAUGAUCAGUCACACUGGAACUGAGACACGGUCCAGACUCCUACGGGAGGCAGC
Molecule: ribosomal RNA, 342 nt
Filed under: uncultured bacterium
Lineage: Bacteria
Description: bacterial SSU rRNA
Rfam family: Bacterial small subunit ribosomal RNA
Source: RNAcentral